Long non-coding RNA from Carassius carassius (crucian carp), 384 nucleotides. RefSeq lists it as uncharacterized. The transcript has 2 exons. The record is from RefSeq and is a predicted model, not a curated record. NCBI's taxonomy places the organism in Eukaryota, Metazoa, Chordata, Actinopteri, Cypriniformes, Cyprinidae.
GGUCAAGGGAGUGGCCAGGGAAUUGGCUUUGGCCAGGGGACUGGCCAGGGAAUUGGGACUGGUCAAGGGAGCGGCCAGGGAAUUGGUUUUGGCCAGGGGAGUGGUAAAGGGACUGGCCAGGGAAGUGGUUUUGGUCAGGGUAGUGGUCAGGGAAGUGGCGCAGACCAAUUUGGCAAUGGUCAAUGUUGAGGUCAGGGACAUGUUCAUGGGAAUUUGCAUAAUACUUCCUGGAGAUCUUUUCCAGUGCUUUUAUUUAAAUGGCAUGUUUUCCCUGUUUGCUCGAACAGUUUAGAAAGAUUUUCUGUCUCACUACCACCUCAAAUAAAAAAUAACUGCUUGAUUUUGAAUAGUUGGUUUUUGGUAUCAUUUGGCUGUUUUCUCACA